RNAcentral lists this ribosomal RNA (305 nucleotides) under uncultured bacterium. RNAcentral describes it as "bacterial SSU rRNA". It matches the Rfam family "Bacterial small subunit ribosomal RNA", at positions 338 to 660 of the family's 1533-position model. The record is from RNAcentral.
CCUACGGGGCGCAGCAGUGGGGGAUAUUGCACAAUGGGGGAAACCCUGAUGCAGCGACGCCGCGUGAGCGAUGAAGUAUUUCGGUAUGUAAAGCUCUAUCAGCAGGGAAGAAAAUGACGGUACCUGACUAAGAAGCCCCGGCUAACUACGUGCCAGCAGCCGCGGUAAUACGUAGGGGGCAAGCGCUAUACGGAUUUACUGGGUGGAAAGGGAGCGUAGACGGCAGGGCAAGUCUGAAGUGAAAGGCAAGGGCUCAACCCUUGGACUGCUUGGGAAACUGUGCUGCUCGCGAGUCGGAACGGCAG